UUCUUAAAGAAUUUAAUUUUAAGUAUAACCUGCUCAAUGAUAAUUAAAUAGCCGCAGUUAAUCUGUGCUAAGGUAGCAUAAUCAUUUGCUUUCUAAAUAAAAGAUAGAAUGAAAGGUUAAACGAUAAAAUAUUUUUUAAUAUUAUAUAAUUAAAUUAUUUUUAAAGUAAAAAAUCUUUAAUAAAUAAACUAGACGAUAAGACCCUAAUAAACUUAUUCAAUUAGUUGGGGCAACAAAAUAAUUUUAUUUUAUUUAAAAAAUUAAUAAAACUUAAUAAAAAAUUUAAUUUAGUUACUAUAGGGAUAACAGCGCAAUUUCUUUUAAAAGUUCAUAUUAAAAAAGAAUAUUACGACCUCGAUGUUGAAUUAAUUUAACUAUUAAAUGCAAAAAUUUAAUAAGUAAGUCUGUUCGACUUAUAAUAAAUU
This 425-nucleotide ribosomal RNA is filed under the name Belisana sabah. Its description in RNAcentral is "partial 16S ribosomal RNA". The record is from RNAcentral. Lineage: Eukaryota; Metazoa; Arthropoda; Arachnida; Araneae; Pholcidae.